CCUACGGGUGGCAGCAGUGAGGAAUAUUGGUCAAUGGACGAGAGUCUGAACCAGCCAAGUAGCGUGAAGGAUGAAUGCCCUAUGGGGUGUAAACUUCUUUUAUAAAGGAAUAAAACGAGGCACGUAUGCCGUUUUGCAUGUACUUUAUGAAUAAGGAACGGCUAACUCCGUGCCAGCAGCCGCGGUAAUACGGAGGAUACGAGCGUUAUCCGGAUUUGUUGGGUUUAAAGGGAGCGUAGAUGGGUUGUUAAGUCAGUUGUGAAAGUUUGCGGCUCAACCGUAAAAUUGCAAUUGAUACUGGCAGUCUUGAGUACAGUUGAGGUAGGCGGAAUUCGUGGUGUAGCGGUGAAAUGCUUAGAUAUCACGAAGAACCCCGAUUGCGAAGGCAGCUUACUAAACUGUGACUGACAUUGAUGCUCGAAAGUGUGGGUAUCAAACAGGAUUAGAUACCCCGGUAGUC
Molecule: ribosomal RNA, 460 nt
Filed under: uncultured bacterium
Lineage: Bacteria
Description: partial 16S ribosomal RNA
Rfam family: Bacterial small subunit ribosomal RNA
Source: RNAcentral